UUGAGCCUAUCCUGGGCUAGUUCGUGUUUGCUGCGGUAACGGUGCAGCAGUGAGUGAAAUUUUCGUUAAUAAUCACGUAGCUGGUGUGACGUUUGGAAAGGGAAGUGAGGAAGUGAAAGAUAUUUAUAUUAUUUGAAUUAUCAUUUGAUAACAUGUCAACUUGUGUGUGUGUGUGUGUGUGAGUGUGUGGACUGGAUGGGUUGAAGAGCAUUGACAGAUGGCGCUGGGGAGGGAGAGCGGGCGGCUGGCUGGCUGGCUGGCCACCUGCAGUGUUUUGGCCAGCACUGGUCAGUCCUACCCCACACGCUCUAUUAAGCAGUGUUUCCGUAUUCCUGGCAGCUUCUCCCUGCACCGAGCACCGCCAGGCAGCACCAGAGAGGCACGAGUACGUAAGGUUGUGAAGUCCACGAAGCACAGGCGGAGGAACAAAGUGGACAAGGACGUGGGGCGGCAAUCAGAGGAAAGUCUCUCUCUCUCUCCAAUGCUAGAAAUUCUCUCUAAGUCAAUCCCCCGGCAGGUUGUGAAGUCCACGAAGCACAAGCACAGG
Molecule: long non-coding RNA, 547 nt
Organism: Scylla paramamosain (green mud crab)
Lineage: Eukaryota; Metazoa; Arthropoda; Malacostraca; Decapoda; Portunidae
Exons: 2
Source: RefSeq, a predicted model, not a curated record